UGCAGCCAUGCCGCGUGUGUGAAGAAGGCCUUCGGGUUGUAAAGCACUUUCAGUAGGGAGGAAAGGUAGCAGCUUAAUACGCUGUUGCUGUGACGUUACCUACAGAAGAAGGACCGGCUAACUCCGUGCCAGCAG
This 135-nucleotide ribosomal RNA is filed under the name uncultured Alteromonadales bacterium. RNAcentral describes it as "partial 16S ribosomal RNA". It matches the Rfam family "Bacterial small subunit ribosomal RNA", at positions 387 to 514 of the family's 1533-position model. The record is from RNAcentral. Lineage: Bacteria; Pseudomonadati; Pseudomonadota; Gammaproteobacteria; Alteromonadales.